This 279-nucleotide ribosomal RNA is filed under the name uncultured bacterium. Its description in RNAcentral is "partial 16S ribosomal RNA". It matches the Rfam family "Bacterial small subunit ribosomal RNA", at positions 506 to 784 of the family's 1533-position model. The record is from RNAcentral.
UGCCAGCAGCCGCGGUAAUACGGAGGGUGCAAGCGUUAAUCGGAAUUACUGGGCGUAAAGGGUGCGUAGGUGGUUUUGUAAGUUAUGUGUGAAAUCCCCGGGCUUAACCUGGGAGGGUCAGAUAAUACUGCAAGACUAGAGUAUGAGAGAGGGUAGUGGAAUUUCCGGUGUAGCGGUGAAAUGCGUAGAGAUCGGAAGGAACACCAGUGGCGAAGGCGGCUACCUGGCUUAAUACUGACACUGAGGCACGAAAGCGUGGGGAGCAAACAGGAUUAGAUA